GGAGAGGUGGCUGAGCGGUUGAAAGCGGCGGUCUUGAAAACCGUNNCUAGAGUUCGAAUCUCUACCUCUCCGCCA
RNAcentral lists this transfer RNA (75 nucleotides) under Candidatus Omnitrophota bacterium. RNAcentral's name for it is "Candidatus Omnitrophica bacterium tRNA-Ser". It matches the Rfam family "tRNA". From Rfam's summary of the family: Transfer RNA (tRNA) molecules are approximately 80 nucleotides in length. Their secondary structure includes four short double-helical elements and three loops (D, anti-codon, and T loops). Further hydrogen bonds mediate the characteristic L-shaped molecular structure. tRNAs have two regions of fundamental functional importance: the anti-codon, which is responsible for specific mRNA codon recognition, and the 3' end, to which the tRNAs corresponding amino acid is attached (by aminoacyl-tRNA synthetases). tRNAs cope with the degeneracy of the genetic code in two manners: having more than one tRNA (with a specific anti-codon) for a particular amino acid; and 'wobble' base-pairing, i.e. permitting non-standard base-pairing at the 3rd anti-codon position. The record is from RNAcentral. Lineage: Bacteria; Pseudomonadati; Candidatus Omnitrophota.